RNAcentral lists this ribosomal RNA (963 nucleotides) under Bacillus sp. S3(2011). Its description in RNAcentral is "bacterial SSU rRNA". It matches the Rfam family "Bacterial small subunit ribosomal RNA", at positions 37 to 972 of the family's 1533-position model. Lineage: Bacteria; Bacillati; Bacillota; Bacilli; Caryophanales; Bacillaceae. The record is from RNAcentral.
CGGGGGGGGGCCCAAAUAAUGCAAGUCGAGCGACUGAUUAGAAGCUUGCUUCUAUGACGUUAGCGGCGGACGGGUGAGUAACACGUGGGCAACCUGCCUGUAAGACUGGGAUAACUUCGGGAAACCGAAGCUAAUACCGGAUAGGAUCUUCUCCUUCAUGGGAGAUGAUUGAAAGAUGGUUUCGGCUAUCACUUACAGAUGGGCCCGCGGUGCAUUAGCUAGUUGGUGAGGUAACGGCUCACCAAGGCAACGAUGCAUAGCCGACCUGAGAGGGUGAUCGGCCACACGGGGACUGAGACACGGCCCAGACUCCUACGGGAGGCAGCAGUAGGGAAUCUUCCGCAAUGGACAAAAGUCUGACGGAGCAACGCCGCGUGAGUGAUGAAGGCUUUCGGGUCGUAAAACUCUGUUGUUAGGGAAAAACAAGUACAAAAGUAACUGCUCGUACCUUGACGGUACCUAACCAAAAAGCCACGGCUAACUACGUGCCAGCAGCCGCGGUAAUACGUAGGUGGCAAGCGUUAUCCGGAAUUAUUGGGCGUAAAGCGCGCGCAGGCGGUUUCUUAAGUCUGAUGUGAAAGCCCACGGCUCAACCGUGGAGGGUCAUUGAAAACUGGGGAACUUGAGUGCAGAAAAAAAAAGCGGAAUUCCACGUGUAGCGGUGAAAUGCGUAAAGAUGUGGAGGAACACCAGUGGCGAAGGCGGCUUUUUUGGUCUGUAAACUGACGCUGAGGCGCGAAAGCGUGGGAGCAAACAGGAAUUAGAUACCCCUGGUAGUCCCACGCCGUAAACGAUGAGUGCUAAGUGUAGAGGGUUUUCCGCCCUUUUAGUGCUGCAGCUAACGCAUUAAGCCACUCCGCCUGGGGAGUACGUCGCAAGACUGAAACUCAAAGGGAUUUGAACGGAGCCCGCACAGCGCUGCAGCAUGUGUUUAAUUCGGAAAGCCACGCGCCGAAAGAACAC